CACAGUGGCUACUGGGGUUCUG
RNAcentral lists this microRNA (22 nucleotides) under Salmo salar (Atlantic salmon). RNAcentral's name for it is "ssa-miR-216b-3p". Its record names the gene ssa-miR-216b-3p. The record is from miRBase by way of RNAcentral. Lineage: Eukaryota; Metazoa; Chordata; Actinopteri; Salmoniformes; Salmonidae.